This 465-nucleotide ribosomal RNA is filed under the name uncultured bacterium. RNAcentral describes it as "partial 16S ribosomal RNA". It matches the Rfam family "Bacterial small subunit ribosomal RNA", at positions 28 to 507 of the family's 1533-position model. The record is from RNAcentral.
GACGAACGCUUGCGGCGUGCUUAACACAUGCAAGUCGAACGGAAAGGCCCCUUUGGGGGUACUCGAGUGGCGAACGGGUGAGUAACACGUGAGUAACCUGCCCUUGACUUCGGGAUAACUUCAGGAAACUGGGGCUAAUACCGGAUAGGAAUCCUUGCUGCAUGGUGGGGGUUGGAAAGCUUCGGCGGUUUUGGAUGGACUCGCGGCUUAUCAGCUUGUUGGUGGGGUAGUGGCUUACCAAGGCUUUGACGGGUAGCCGGCCUGAGAGGGCGACCGGCCACAUUGGGACUGAGAUACGGCCCAGACUCCUACGGGAGGCAGCAGUGGGGAAUAUUGCACAAUGGGCGGAAGCCUGAUGCAGCAACGCCGCGUGCGGGAUGACGGCCUUCGGGUUGUAAACCGCUUUCAGCAGGGGCGAAGCUUGUGGUGACGGUACCUGCAGAAGAAGCACCGGCUAACUACGUG